This is a long non-coding RNA of Cydia strobilella, 217 nucleotides long. RefSeq lists it as uncharacterized. The transcript has 3 exons. Lineage: Eukaryota; Metazoa; Arthropoda; Insecta; Lepidoptera; Tortricidae. The record is from RefSeq and is a predicted model, not a curated record.
UUUUUAUCACUUGUCAUGUCAUGUGUCACUUUCGCACUAACAUACUUUAAUAAGUAGCAUGGUGACAAAUGAUAAAGAGCCGACCAUCUUAGCCCUACAAAUAAAUUUAAAAGUGGAAAAAUUACUGCCUUCGGUGAGACUUGAACUCACGGUCUCUGGAUCGAUACUCCAGCGCUCUGCCAACUGAGCCACCAAGACCUCAUCCAUAGUCAGCAAA